CCUACGGGAGGCAGCAGUGGGGGAUAUUGCACAAUGGGGGGAACCCUGAUGCAGCGACGCCGCGUGGGUGAAGGAGCGUUUCGGCGCAUAAAGCCCUAUCGGCAGGGAAGAAGGAGGACGGUACCUGACUAAGAAGCCCCGGGUAACUACGUGCCAGCAGCCGCGGUAAUAAGUAGGGGGCAAGCGUUAUCCGGAUUUACUGGGUGUAAAGGGGGCGCAGACGGCAGCGCAAGCCAGGAGUGAAAGCCCGGGGGCCAACCCCGGGACUGCUCUUGGAACUGCGCGGCUGGAGUGCAGGAGGGGCAGGCGGAAUUCCUGGUGUAGCGGUGAAAUGCGUAGAUAGCAGGAGGAACACCGGUGGCGAAGGCGGCAUGCUGGACUGCGACUGACGUUGAGGCACGAAAGCGUGGGGAGCAAACAGGAUUAGAUACCCUAGUAGUC
This 441-nucleotide ribosomal RNA is filed under the name uncultured bacterium. RNAcentral's name for it is "partial 16S ribosomal RNA". It matches the Rfam family "Bacterial small subunit ribosomal RNA", at positions 338 to 795 of the family's 1533-position model. The record is from RNAcentral.